CAGAGUUCAUGCCCUCACGGGUAGAUCUCCCACCCUUGAAUAACAUACCUUCGUUGCUUUGGCAGGGCGCACUCGUGCCAGAGGCUUCGGCUUCUGAGCCCCUGCCAGAGGACCACAACUCUUGUUUUUAGUGAUGUCUGAGUACUAUAUAAUAGUUA
This 158-nucleotide unclassified non-coding RNA is filed under the name uncultured Helotiaceae. Its description in RNAcentral is "sequence contains ITS1". The record is from RNAcentral. Lineage: Eukaryota; Fungi; Ascomycota; Leotiomycetes; Helotiales; Helotiaceae.